This 980-nucleotide long non-coding RNA is filed under the name Solanum lycopersicum (tomato). Its description in RNAcentral is "long non-coding RNA (SLYC_LNC000353)". The record is from RNAcentral. Lineage: Eukaryota; Viridiplantae; Streptophyta; Magnoliopsida; Solanales; Solanaceae.
UGCAUUCUCCACAAGCUGAUGAACAGAUAGUGUGGCAUUGUAAGGCUCAACAACAGUGUCUGAAACCUUUGGAGAUGGGAAAACAGAGAAGGUAAGCAUCAUUCUAUCUGGGUACUCCUCUCUGAUCUUUGAAAUCAAAAGGGUUCCCAUUCCGGACCCAGUCCCUCCUCCCAGGGAGUGGCACACCUGAAACCCUGCAUAUGAUACCACAGGUAAGCACCAAAGAACACAAGUGUUUAAAAUGGUUAAUACAAGUAUCUUUACCCACUCCAGUUAUAGCCUAAAUAAAUUGGAUUCUAUGUUCUUACAUUUAAUACCAAACCAUGCUUAGCUGUUUUGUUGUCUGGUACCAAUCUUCUCCUCUCCCUUCGAUCUUUUUUCCUCUAUUACGUUUUUGCUAUUUCUAAUGAACUUAUUCUUGAAUUAUACUGCUGUUUCUAAGGUACUUUUCUCACAAAUUUCCAAGUACAUUAAGCUAUCAGCAUUACCACUCUGAUAUUUCUCUCACAAACCGACUUCCACUAUUGAUAUUCAAGUCAUUAUUGACCUCCUUACCACAACAAACUAAAAGAUCUGACUUAUCAUGCCCCAAAGCGUUACAGACAUCAUUUCUACUUGGUUAUUUAAGUGAGGGUUUGCAAAAUAAUUUCUAAAAUUUCUUAACUAAGCUGCAAAUUGUUUUUAACACUUCAGAUUAGAUAGUUAGAUUCAUAUAUGACUGUGUACACAUGUCAACAACAAGCAAUAAGACCUCAGCAGCAGAUCUUAAAUCUAUAAUACAAUCUAAACAAAUCAAGAGCAUAAGAGCAGUUAAAACAAACACCUUGAAGGCAGUCACAGUUUUCAGCUUCUUUACGCACAACAUCGAGAACAGAAUCAAUCAGCUCAGCACCCUCAGUGUAAUGACCCUUAGCCCAGUUGUUCCCAGCACCAGAUUGGCCAAAAACAAAGUUAUCAGGACGAAAGAUCUGGCCAUAAGU